UACGUAGGGUGCAAGCGUUGCCCGGAUUUAUUGGGCGUAAAGGGCGCGUAGGCGGCUCGGCACGUCCGUUGUGAAAUCGCCCGGCUCAACUGGGCGGGGUCAGCGGAUACGGUCGAGCUUGAGCAAGCUAGGGGGCAAUGGAAUUCCCGGUGUAGUGGUGGAAUGCGUAGAUAUCGGGAGGAACACCAGUGGCGAAGGCGACUUCCUGGCCUGUUCUUGACGCUGAGGCGCGAAAGCUAGGGGAGCAAACGGG
RNAcentral lists this ribosomal RNA (253 nucleotides) under uncultured bacterium. Its description in RNAcentral is "partial 16S ribosomal RNA". It matches the Rfam family "Bacterial small subunit ribosomal RNA", at positions 524 to 776 of the family's 1533-position model. The record is from RNAcentral.